UGCAGGAUCAGGUCACAUUCGGUGGGGAUAUAAAAUCCCCUGGAUUUGUACUCUAAUCAUUUACCGUGAGAGAAAAAAAGCCAGAACAGUUACACUACUCACCUAUUUGAGGCUGAGAAAAAAACAAAAAAAUGACUAAAAUGGUGAUGGCCUACAUUGGCUUCCUUCUCCUUGCCAUGCAUUUGUCAUCACAAGUCUACUCACAAAACAUUGGGCGUAGGCCUACAACAAGGUCCCCGGCAGUGACUGUGAACACUACCAAAGUUGGCGGCGCGCGUUCCAAUAUGACCAAGUUACCCGAUGUCACUACCACCAACAUCACCAUCCCCAAAGGAGCCUGCGUGUCCUUGGAGUCCAGUGCGUUUACGCUGUUCAUUCCCAUGGUGGCGGGCUCGCUUGUACAGGGCCGCUUAUAGAGUGCUCAUCUGCACUAAACGGACACCGCCACGAAUAACAUCGGCGGCGCACUUUUUUUUAAUACGUUCUGGAAAGGCAGCUAUGUGCGUACCAAACCAGAGGGAUUCGGUGGAAUUGGAAGAUUGAACGCGUGGACGAGAACCUUUCUUUCCACCGAUGGGAAUCAUUUCAAACCAGUAUAGGCAGGCGUACACUCCCUGCCUACUGACCCCAAGCCCUAUGGUGUGGUCCCCUCCAUGAAGGCAGGCCAUGAUGAGAAUGUACUGAACUCUGCUUUGACUCUGUUGGUUCCUGUGUCCAGACAGCAGGGGGUUGUUUUGGACUGUUAUGUAACUUCUGAAGUGUAAAUGUUGGCUGUGCCUGGGAAAUCAACUGCAUAUAAUGAAAUGUUGGUUGAGAUGCAUUGUGGAAAUAACUUAACCUAUCUUGUCUGAUCUUGUGUGUAAGCGUUGCUUCCGUUCCCCUCCUUGCCCCAACCUGGGCUUGAACCGGUGACUCUGAACACAACUGCCUCCUACCGUUAACUAGCUAGCCUGCCUCCCACCGUUAACUAGCUAGCCACUUCGUACCGAUAACACUGGAUAUUUCUACUCCUGAAACUGCAAUGGAUACUUUGUCAGAGGCUUGAUGUACGUACCAUUGUGAUUUGUAGAGUGCAACUUCUCGGCAUGUGAUUUUAAUUGUGUAAAUCGGUGUAAUAUGCUUAGAUUAUUUAUUUUGUGUUGUCAGGUUCAAUAAAGCUUUGACAUGUACAAAAAUGAUAUUCCAUGUUGUACAAUAAAAUUAACAACCUUGA
Coregonus clupeaformis (lake whitefish) is the source of this 1213-nucleotide long non-coding RNA. RefSeq lists it as uncharacterized. The transcript has 2 exons. Lineage: Eukaryota; Metazoa; Chordata; Actinopteri; Salmoniformes; Salmonidae. The record is from RefSeq and is a predicted model, not a curated record.